AACGGGGGGGCAAGCGUUAUUCGUCGUUUAUUGGGCGUAAAGGGUACGUAGGUGGGUUUAUUAUUUUCUUAGCCAAAGGACAACGGUUUUACGUUGUCAGUGCUGUUAAAGAAAAGACCUAGAGACUGUAAAAGGUUAGAAGAAUUACUAAAGUAGGGGUAAAAUGUGCUGAUCUUAGUACGAAUACCGCAUGCGCGGCAUCUUUCUUAGCAGUCUGACACUGAGGUACGAAAGCAUGGGGAUCAAACAGG
This 251-nucleotide ribosomal RNA is filed under the name uncultured bacterium. RNAcentral's name for it is "partial 16S ribosomal RNA". It matches the Rfam family "Bacterial small subunit ribosomal RNA", at positions 525 to 776 of the family's 1533-position model. The record is from RNAcentral.